GGGGCUAUAGCUCAAUUGGCAGAGCGCAUGCAUGGCAUGCAUGAGGCAACCGGUUCGAAUCCGGUUAGCUCCACCA
RNAcentral lists this transfer RNA (76 nucleotides) under Candidatus Babelota bacterium. RNAcentral describes it as "Candidatus Dependentiae bacterium tRNA-Ala". It matches the Rfam family "tRNA". Rfam says of the family: Transfer RNA (tRNA) molecules are approximately 80 nucleotides in length. The record is from RNAcentral.